This 435-nucleotide ribosomal RNA is filed under the name uncultured bacterium. RNAcentral's name for it is "partial 16S ribosomal RNA". It matches the Rfam family "Bacterial small subunit ribosomal RNA", at positions 29 to 507 of the family's 1533-position model. The record is from RNAcentral.
AGCGAACGCUGGCGGCAGGCUUAACACAUGCAAGUCGAGCGGGCACUUUCGGGUGUCAGCGGCGGACGGGUGAGUAACGCGUGGGAACGUGCCCUCUGGUUCGGAAUAACUCAGGGAAACUUGAGCUAAUACCGGAUACGCCCUUUUGGGGAAAGGCUUGCUGCCGGAGGAUCGGCCCGCGUCUGAUUAGCUAGUUGGUGAGGUAACGGCUCACCAAGGCGACGAUCAGUAGCUGGUCUGAGAGGAUGAUCAGCCACACUGGGACUGAGACACGGUCCAGAAUCCUACGGGAGGGAGGAGUGGGGAAUAUUGGAAAAUGGGCGCAAGGCUGAUCCAGCCAUGCCGCGUGAGUGAUGAAGGCCUUAGGGUUGUAAAGCUCUUUUAUCCGGGACGAUAAUGACGGUACCGGAGGAAUAAGCCCCGGCUAACUUCGUG